GACGAACGCUUUCGGGCGUGCUUAACACAUGCAAGUCGAACGGAAAGGCCCUGCUUUUGUGGGGUGCUCGAGUGGCGAACGGGUGAGUAACACGUGAGUAACCUGCCCUUGACUUUGGGAUAACUUCAGGAAACUGGGGCUAAUACCGGAUAGGAGCUCCUGCUGCAUGGUGGGGGUUGGAAAGUUUCGGCGGUUGGGGAUGGACUCGCGGCUUAUCAGCUUGUUGGUGGGGUAGUGGCUUACCAAGGCUUUGACGGGUAGCCGGCCUGAGAGGGUGACCGGCCACAUUGGGACUGAGAUACGGCCCAGACUCCUACGGGAGGCAGCAGUGGGGAAUAUUGCACAAUGGGCGGAAGCCUGAUGCAGCAACGCCGCGUGCGGGAUGACGGCCUUCGGGUUGUAAACCGCUUUCGCCUGUGACGAAGCGUGAGUGACGGUAAUGGGUAAAGAAGCACCGGCUAACUACGUGCCAGCAGCCGCGGUGAUACGUAGGGUGCGAGCGUUGUCCGGAUUUAUUGGGCGUAAAGGGCUCGUAGGUGGUUGAUCGCGUCGGAAGUGUAAUCUUGGGGCUUAACCCUGAGCGUGCUUUCGAUACGGGUUGACUUGAGGAAGGUAGGGGAGAAUGGAAUUCCUGGUGGAGCGGUGGAAUGCGCAGAUAUCAGGAGGAACACCAGUGGCGAAGGCGGUUCUCUGGGCCUUUCCUGACGCUGAGGAGCGAAAGCGUGGGGAGCGAACAGGCUUAGAUACCCUGGUAGUCCACGCUGUAAACGGUGGGUACUAGGUGUGGGGUCCAUUCCACGGGUUCCGUGCCGUAGCUAACGCUUUAAGUACCCCGCCUGGGGAGUACGGCCGCAAGGCUAAAACUCAAAGGAAUUGACGGGGCCCCGCACAAGCGGCGGAGCAUGCGGAUUAAUUCGAUGCAACGCGUAGAACCUUACCUGGGUUUGACAUGGAUCGGGAGUGCUCAGAGAUGGGUGUGCCUCUUUUGGGGUCGGUUCACAGGUGGUGCAUGGCUGUCGUCAGCUCGUGUCGUGAGAUGUUGGGUUAAGUCCCGCAACGAGCGCAACCCUUGUUCACUGUUGCCAGCACGUUAUGGUGGGGACUCAGUGGAGACCGCCGGGGUCAACUCGGAGGAAGGUGGGGAUGACGUCAAGUCAUCAUGCCCCUUAUGUCCAGGGCUUCACGCAUGCUACAAUGGCUGGUACAGAGAGUGGCGAGCCUGUGAGGGUGAGCGAAUCUCGGAAAGUCGGUCUCAGUUCGGAUUGGGGUCUGCAACUCGACCUCAUGAAGUCGGAGUCGCUAGUAAUCGCAAAUCAGCAACGCUGCGGUGAAUACGUUCCCGGGGC
Molecule: ribosomal RNA, 1346 nt
Filed under: uncultured bacterium
Lineage: Bacteria
Description: partial 16S ribosomal RNA
Rfam family: Bacterial small subunit ribosomal RNA
Source: RNAcentral